ACGUGUCGCGAUGGAUGACUUGGCUUCCUAUUUCGUUGAAGAAGCAGUAAAGUGCGAUAAGUGGUAUCAAUUGCAUCAUCAUUCAAUUACCGAAUCCAUGAACGCAAACGGCGCAUGGGAGAAGCUCUAUUGUGUCAUCCCCGUGCAUGCCAUAUUCUCAGUGUCGAA
RNAcentral lists this ribosomal RNA (168 nucleotides) under Leishmania major. RNAcentral's name for it is "5.8S ribosomal RNA". It matches the Rfam family "5.8S ribosomal RNA". Rfam says of the family: 5.8S ribosomal RNA (5.8S rRNA) is a component of the large subunit of the eukaryotic ribosome. It is transcribed by RNA polymerase I as part of the 45S precursor that also contains 18S and 28S rRNA. Functionally, it is thought that 5.8S rRNA may be involved in ribosome translocation. Lineage: Eukaryota; Euglenozoa; Kinetoplastea; Trypanosomatida; Trypanosomatidae. The record is from RNAcentral.